Rattus norvegicus (Norway rat) is the source of this 2700-nucleotide non-coding RNA. The record is from RefSeq and is a predicted model, not a curated record. Lineage: Eukaryota; Metazoa; Chordata; Mammalia; Rodentia; Muridae.
GGACUGGAAAGGAGAUAACAUUCGAAAUGUAAAUACAUAAAAAUCCAGAAAGGGGGGGCAGCAGGGAAGGCAAGCUAUGAAACCUCAAAACCCCCAGCUUUCUGGGGGAAAGAGAAGAAAAUAAAGGUGGUGACAUUUUAAGCUGGAAAAGAAGAAAGAAAAAGAGAGGGAAAAAAGAGGCUAGGGUUAGUACCUGGUUGAUUCCAAAGCCCGGGCACUGGCCUUGCGUCAUCCUGUCUACUGUCCUGGCGUCAUGUCAGCAAGUGAGGAAGAUGCCGGGAGGAGGUACCAGGCCUGUAGAACAGCACGUGGGGAGCUUUCCGGUGGAAGAGAACUGGCAGUGAGUGAGGAGGCCAAGGGAGGCUCUCUCCCCAUUGUCUUAAGUACUAUUGGUGGAAUGCAGAGGCAUUUCAAGGGAACCGAACUGUCGGAUCUUCUGGGCUGUGUUUGUUAGGUGUGAACAAAACCAAAACCAAACACAAACCAAAAUAAGACACCCAAACCAAUUCUUAUUCUCAGUGGCAGUUGGAAGACUUGCUAUCCAUGCACAGUGCCUGGCCCUCUGCUGUCCCGUCCCAAGAACUACUCCCUUGGCUUAACCUUUGGGAAAUGGGGCUGCGAUUUGCCUAGAUUUACUAUCACCCAACACGAUGGACUGCCUGGGACACGGGCUCUUGGCAUCGGUUGACCAAAAUUAAGCGGCGCGAUGUACAGGCCAGGCACGGUGCCUUCCACUCUUGAAGAAAUGGGUUCGAUAUUCAGAUCUGUGUUUAUUUUAUUUCAGUAAGCUGAGGAAAAGUGACAGGGUUGGUCUCAAAGAACCGGACAAAGGAUGGUGUGGCCAUAUGGAUUCCAAGCCCCAUGGAGAAAAAAGAGAAGCAGUAGAUAGUGAAGGUUGGACAACAGCCGGUAGGAGUCCCUGUGGUGGGAAUCUCUGUGGGAUUCUUUCCUUCACAGCACACCAGCCCCUGUAGAGAGGGGCUUUGUUUCCAGUCAGGGCUUGAGGAGUUGGUUACACAGAGUUUUGUUUUCAGAAGCCUGUGUGUGAGCUGAGGUUGGUGACUCCACCGUCUCUGAGUGGAAACAGCUACAACACUCAUGUGCCCCUAAUUAUCCCCGAGGAUAUAAAACAUCUAGUACCUUGCAAGGCCUUUUUUUCUCUCUAGGACACAAAUUCCUCUUUCCUCCCUCUUCAAUAAACCAAGUUGUGAUUAAAACCUUAGGAAGGAAAAAGGGCGCCACCGAGCAUGUCCUCCACAACCCUCCCAACGUGGCCACUGAGUCACAGGAAAAACAUUCAGGAUGAGAGACCUCGGGGCCCCUGGAGGCAGGGGUGGAUCCGACUAUUGAUAAGCUUCUUCUCUCUAUUUAGAAACUUGCUUUUUCCCAGAGAGGUCCUUUAAAAGUGUUGGACCACUGACUGCAGUUCCGUUCACGGCCACAGACAGUGGCUGGGGUGGUUGGCAGGAGAGACACGUGAAGGACUGAUUUGCCUUUCCAUGACACGCAGGCGGGUGGCACGGUGCCCAGGACUGCAGUACAAAGGCCACCCCUAGAUCAGGUAAGGCCCCAUCUGAGCACAGAAAAUACAUAUUUGAGAAACGUCAGCACCAAGGAUGUCAUUUUUUCUGUUCCAGGAUAUUCGUUUGAAAAAACGGGAACAAUAAUAAAACAUAACACAGUGACUCCUGGGCCUGGACUAUUUUGCCAUGUGACCACACUGACCAAGAAACAGAAGGGGCAACACAGCUAAAGCGUUAUAAAAAAAAAACAACGUGAAGUGCUAAACGUGUUCCCUUCCAUUUUGAAAGAGGCUCCAUCCUUCUCGGCUGAGCGUACCAAAGACUAAGCGAGCGGGUGCCCGAGAGUAUAAACAUUGCUCACAGCCUUGCGCCCCAGAGAAGCAAGAAACAUUUUUUCUAAAGUUUGAAGUCUCUGCCCAAACACAGUUUGCAAUGUUUUGGGAGUAGGAUCCAAGUUCUGUUGAAUGCUUAUGAGACAUUUUGCUUAUUAAAUAAUCUUCUGAAAUCUGCCAGGUUUCAAUGACUCAUGGAUUCAUGCAAACGAAUGCAUGGCAGUUUGGAUUAUGGAAUCCGAGGGAAGAGAAUCCUCAAAUGUGCACUUUACAGGGAGGAGACCGGCUGCCAGGACACUGGAAAUGAUUUGCCCGGACCACGCCCUGGGAAGUGCCCAUGUUUGGAAAGCCGGGCCGGAACCCCAAACCUCCGAGCUCAGGACUCUUUCUUCUGAACCCAGUUUUCCUGGGGGCCAGUGAGAAGUCUCUCUGGGUAAGGACGCAUGCCAGCAAGCUAUGACCUGGGCUUGAUGUCUGGAACCCACACAGUAGAAGGAGAGAACUGACUCUCACAGGCUGCCCCCCUGAUCUCAAGAGGCUGUGGCAUGCAGGGUUGCUGUUGCUAUCUGAGGACUUAAUUCUUCAGGUGAAGAGAGCGGGAUGGAGCUUGGAGGGCAGGAAUUCUGGGACUCAACUGGAUUCUGUCAGAGAGGAAGGGAUGUGCUGAGCUCUGCAAACCUCCUUCCGCUAUUGACAGCGGAGCCUGCUGGUGAGGGACGGGUGACCUUCACCUGCUCUGCCUUAGUCAAUAACAACCCAGAGACAAACAGUCGCUUCAUCUACAACAACCACUUAAUUUUGUGCCCCACUCUAUUUACAGUCAGAAAAAAGAAAAGCAAACCAAA